This is a long non-coding RNA of Eubalaena glacialis (North Atlantic right whale), 3822 nucleotides long. RefSeq lists it as uncharacterized. The record is from RefSeq and is a predicted model, not a curated record. Lineage: Eukaryota; Metazoa; Chordata; Mammalia; Artiodactyla; Balaenidae. The transcript is spliced from 7 exons.
CCUCUCCCUGCAAGCCGCUGUAAAUCACGCAGCUGCUGUGUGGUACCUGUCAGAUCCAGGGCUGUGUGAUCCUGGACUUGUUCCAUGAGGGCAGCCAUAUACGUGCUGGAGCACACGGCCCUCUCCCCGCCUCACCAGGCAUCCCAGCAGAUGUGCCAAGGUCGGUCCCCGCUCCGAGGAUUCUUCUCAACACAGUCAACCUUGUGUUUUGGGUCAGGGUACAGAGGAGACCCCGACCCUCCCAGAGCUCGCAGCCCAGGGGGCAGCACUCUGCCUGCUUGUCUGAGAAACUCCCGGAGGGCAUCUCGGAGGAGGUGAUGUUUGCGCUGAGGUUUGAAGGAUGAACAAAUGGGGCAUUCAGGAUCUUAGUUCCCUGACCAGGGAUCGAACCUGUGCCCCCCGCAGUGGAAGCGUGGAGUCCUAACCACAGGACCACUGGGGCAUUCCGUGAAUUAUCCCUUUUUGAAAGAAGAGGAGAUUACGACACAGACACACAGAGGGAAGACCACGUGAGGAUACAGGAAGAAGACAACCAUCUACAAGCCAAGGAGAGAGGCUUCAGAAGGAACCAACCCUGCCAACACCUUGAUCUUGGACAACUAGCCUCCAAAACAAGGGAGAUUUUAGACACCAACAGAAGAAAAGGACACAGAUGAAAGAGGAGAAGCAAUGUGACCAUGGAGGCAGACAUUGGAGGGAUGCGGCUGAAACCAAGGAAUGCCAGUAGCCACGAGAAGCUGGAAGAGGCAAGGAGCAGAUUCUCCUCUGGAGCCCCUACAGGAAGGGCAGCCCUGCUGACACCUUGGAGACUGAACUCAAUGAAGGUAGCCACCUUCCUGUCUCUUUCCCUGCCUUGUUCCCAUUGUACAGCCCUUGGUGAACAGUCAGGGCUCAAUGAAUACUUACCGACUGAAGGAUGAAUGGGGUUGGUGGUGUUGGAUUUCCAUCUCACAAUGCUGAUCUCCUGGGACUCACUCAUAUAGGAAGGUGGAGGGUGCUGCCUGCACGGGGGUCAAGAACAGCUAGGAUCCCAGAGACGCUGGAUGAGAUGGGUCUGCUCAGCUCCCCACGCAAAGCUCCACGGGCACGGCUGUGAUGGUCAACUGCUAUCUCCUCAUGCACCUGAAAGCCCCGCCCACCUUUGGGCCAGGUGAGCUGUGGGGGAGGGGGGAAAGCCCUAGCAGAGGCCAUCCCUGCAAGACCCCAAGACCCUCCGGCAAUGACUCCAGAUUCACCUCUGCUACCGCAGCUUGGCUUCUCCUAUCUGGAAACUCUGGGCCUGUUCUGCUCCCCACACCCUGUCAGGAGCACCCCAGUAAGCCUUGUGGGAUUUGUCGUGGGUCGCUGGAGGUGAGCGUUCCCUCUUCAAUCCACAGCAGAGAUGCCCAACCCUGUGACAUCCAUUGACCUCAUUUUCCCAUUCAUUCACGCGUGGAUACGUUCAUUCAACAAAUAUUUAUUGCAUUUCUAUCGUGGGCUAGGCAUGGAGCUGGACUCUGAGGAUACAACUGAAAAUAAAUCUGUCACAGCCUCCACUCUCACGGAACCCACAUUCCAGAGGGCAAGCAUAAAGAGAGUCAAACAAGGAGAAAAAAUAAUUGCACAUCUUGAAAGGUGUAUGGAGGGAAAGAACAUGGGUAUUUCAGCGAUUUUGGGGCUGACUCAACAGCUUGCGAGAGACGACUGUUAAAAAGUUGAGAGUUUUGUGAGCUGGUUGUUUAACACAGCCAUUAUGAAAAAUUAAGUAAGUGUACAAUGACAUAACUUAUAUGGAAAUAAGAAUUAAAAAUUGAAGGCAUCAAUUAUAUGGGGUGCUGUGAGCAGAGAACUGGAAGAUUGGGAAUGGGUUGGAGAAGCCACUUGUGUCUACUUGGCUUCCUCUACCCAUGCCUGGGCCCUCGGUUUCUCCUUCAGGACCCCCAUCCCAGGUCCUGGAAUUAGUCCUGAUUAGGGCCAGGCUGGUCCCUAGGCUGAGGCCCGAGUGUAACCAGGAGGUAAGUCAAACCCAGUGUCCUGCUGUGGGGACACUCCAGAGGCCCCUGUGGUGACCUGGGCUUGGGCUCCUGUUGCGGAUCAUUCUAGGCUGGCCUCUCACCUCUGACCUUGUCUCUUCCCAAGGGCAUCCUCAUCCCAUCCUCCCACCUGGUUCUAAAAAGUCUGCGGCCUGGAUCUGACGGUUUGACGAGCUCUCUGAGAGUCCCCACGUGGUAGCAUGACUGGUCCCCGGCACUGACCACGUGCCUGAAUUAAGCUGGGCCAUGUGGAUGUACACUCUGCCGGGGACUUACGCUCCACCAUGGGGGAGCUGGUCCUGCCCUAUUGGCCCAGCCUGGGUCAAAUAGAAAACCCAGCAUCACGUCUUCCUCAGUUUCCCCAGUUCAGCAAGGGUUAUUAGCAGUAUCUCACCCACUUAGCAAGGCAGGCAUCAGGAAACGCUUCUCAAGUGAGAGGGUCUGGGACUGAGCCUUCACAGGGCACAGUCGUUGUAGGCGUCUUGUGUGCUCAGAGAAGCCUCCAUACACCCCUGUUUGAAUCCUUCCCUGCAUGGCCCCCCAAAAGGCCACUUCCUUCUCCUAACGCACGUCCACUUUGCACGUCCCAGCCCCGGCCUUCCCUCAGGACACAGGUCGGCCAAGGCAGUAGACCCCACUCCUUCUAGGACAUUCUUCCCUGGCUCCAUAACUGGGAAACCAGCCCAUGCUCCCUCUGCCCUGGGGACCUGGCUUCCCUCCCCACCAUCUACCCCUCCUGCUCUUCCCUUCUGAAGCUCUCCAGAACAUUCUGACUCAUCCUCUGACUCAGAUGGUCUCUCUCUGUUCCCACGUUCUGCUCCCUGACAGGCUGGAGAUCACAGCUCUCACCCCUGGUUCAGUGUUGGGGAGGGAACAGCUGGAUUCCUGUAUGUGCUUGUGUGUGCGCGUGUGUGUGUGGUGGGAGCACACACCUCCCCACCCCAGGGAACUAGGGAGAUGGUUUUCCUAUUCCUUCCCCUCCUUAUAGCCCCUGACUCCUCAAGAGCCGACAAGCAUCCUCCAAGACCCCAGGAGGGGUGAGUGCUGGGGUAGCCGCAAAGAGCCUCAGCCCGAGCUUCACAAGAUGAUUGUAUUGUUGAAGGUGCUUUUUAGCGAAGAAAGUCCCAGUUGAUGACCCCUUCCACCAAACCCCGAAUCCCGGAACAUCCACGUAACAGAACUGGCAGGAACCUAGGGGCAGAUACUUUGAGCUUGAGAGAGACCAAGAUUGAUGAAGAACCACAUUCAAAAUUACCCAGCAAGCAGGUGGCCAAGCCGGAUUGGGAUGGUAAUGAAUUCGUGCCCUCAGUUGAUGUCAGAUAUUCCCUGUCUUCUCUCCCUUCCAUCCCCACCCCCACCAGGACCCCUCGUCCCUCUGCUUCUGCUAAGCCUGUGCUGUGCAGUACAGUGGCCAGCAGCUACAUGUGACUGCUGAGCGCUAGAAAUGUGACUGGUUCGAAUUAAAAGGUGCUUUAAGUGUAAAAUGCACACCGGAUUUCAAAGCUCUAGUAUAAAAAAUAUUCUAUUGAUUAGUAUAAAAAAUGAGAAAUAGCUCAUUCAUAUUUUUUUAUAUUGAUUGCAUGUGGAAAUGGUAAUAUUUUGAUAGUUUGGAUUAAAAAAAACAUAUUAAAAUGAAUCCCACCCAUUUCUUUUCACUUUUCAAAAUGUGUAGAAAAUGUUAAAUUACGUAUGUAAUUUAAAUAAGUAAUGGCUCAUGUUUGUGGCUUGAAUUAUAUUUCUGUUGGGGUUGACCAACCCUGGGGCCAAAUCUGGCCCCCUGCUUAUUUUUAUAAAUAAAGUUUUAUUGAAA